GAUUAGAGUUUGAUCAUGGCUCAGAAUGAACGCUGGCGGCAUGCCUAACACAUGCAAGUCGAACGAAGGCCUCGGCCUUAGUGGCGCACGGGUGCGUAACGCGUGGGUAUCUGCCCUCAGGUUCGGAAUAACAGCGAGAAAUUGCUGCUAAUACCGGAUGAUAUCGCGAGAUCAAAGAUUUAUCGCCUGAGGAUGAGCCCGCGUAGGAUUAGCUAGUUGGUGUGGUAAAGGCGCACCAAGGCGACGAUCCUUAGCUGGUCUGAGAGGAUGAUCAGCCACACUGGGACUGAGACACGGCCCAGACUCCUACGGGAGGCAGCAGUGGGGAAUAUUGGACAAUGGGCGAAAGCCUGAUCCAGCAAUGCCGCGUGAGUGAUGAAGGCCUUAGGGUUGUAAAGCUCUUUUACCCGGGAUGAUAAUGACAGUACCGGGAGAAUAAGCUCCGGCUAACUCCGUGCCAGCAGCCGCGGUAAUACGAAGGGUGCCAGCAGCCGCGGUAAUAAU
RNAcentral lists this ribosomal RNA (504 nucleotides) under uncultured bacterium. Its description in RNAcentral is "bacterial SSU rRNA". It matches the Rfam family "Bacterial small subunit ribosomal RNA", at positions 1 to 555 of the family's 1533-position model. The record is from RNAcentral.